GGUCAGGACGAACGCUGGCGGCGUGCCUAACACAUGCAAGUCGAGCGGAGUUACAAGAGGAAGUUUCGAUGGAAUUUGUAAUUAGCGGCGGACGGGUGAGUAACGCGUGAGCGACCAACCUUGCACAGGGGGAUAACGGACCGAAAGGUUCACUAAUACCGCAUGAGACCACGGUGUUGCAUGACACAGAGGUCAAAGGAGCAAUCCGGUGCAAGACGGGCUCGCGUCCGAUUAGGUAGUUGGUGGGGUAAUGGCCCACCAAGCCUAUGAUCGGUAGCCGACCUGAGAGGGUGAUCGGCCACAUUGGAACUGAGAUACGGUCCAAACUCCUACGGGAGGCAGCAGUGGGGAAUAUUGGGCAAAUGGGGGAAACCCUGACCCAGCAACGCCGCGUGAAGGAAGAAGGUUUUCGGAUUGUAAACUUCUGUCCUUGGUGAAGAGAAGAAGACGGUAGCCAAGGAGGAAGCCCCGGCUAACUACGUGCCAGCCGCCGC
RNAcentral lists this ribosomal RNA (494 nucleotides) under uncultured bacterium. RNAcentral describes it as "bacterial SSU rRNA". It matches the Rfam family "Bacterial small subunit ribosomal RNA", at positions 22 to 518 of the family's 1533-position model. The record is from RNAcentral.